GGUGAACGCUGGCGGCGUGCUUAACACAUGCAAGUCGAACGGUAAGGCCCUUCGGGGUACACGAGUGGCGAACGGGUGAGUAACACGUGGGUGAUCUGCCCUGCACUUCGGGAUAAGCCUGGGAAACUGGGUCUAAUACCGGAUAGGACCACUGCCUGCAUGGGUGGUGGUGGAAAGCUUUUGCGGUGUGGGAUGGGCCCGCGGCCUAUCAGCUUGUUGGUGGGGUGAUGGCCUACCAAGGCGACGACGGGUAGCCGGCCUGAGAGGGUGACCGGCCACACUGGGACUGAGAUACGGCCCAGACUCCUACGGGAGGCAGCAGUGGGGAAUAUUGCACAAUGGGCGCAAGCCUGAUGCAGCGACGCCGCGUGGGGGAUGACGGCCUUCGGGUUGUAAACCUCUUUCAGCACCGACGAAGCGCAGGUGACGGUAGGUGCAGAAGAAGGACCGGCCAACUACGUGCCAGCAGCCGCCGUAA
RNAcentral lists this ribosomal RNA (478 nucleotides) under uncultured bacterium. Its description in RNAcentral is "partial 16S ribosomal RNA". It matches the Rfam family "Bacterial small subunit ribosomal RNA", at positions 28 to 523 of the family's 1533-position model. The record is from RNAcentral.